GACGAACGCUGGCGGCGUGCUUGACACAUGCAAGUCGAACGGAAAGGCCCUGCUUGCAGGGUACUCGAGUGGCGAACGGGUGGGUAACACGUGGGUGAUCUGCCCUGCACUUCGGGAUAAGCCUGGGAAACUGGGUCUAAUACCGGAUAGGAGCCAUUUUUAGUGUGAUGGUUGGAAAGUUUUUUCGGUGUAGGAUGAGCUCGCGGCCUAUCAGCUUGUUGGUGGGGUAAUGGCCUACCAAGGCGGCGACGGGUAGCCGGCCUGAGAGGGUGGACGGCCACAUUGGGACUGGGGUACCGCCCCGGCUCCUACGGGAAGGAACAGGGGGGAAAAUUGCAAAAUGGGCGGAAGCCUGAUGCAGCGACGCCGCGUGGGGGAUGGCGGCCUUCGGGUUGGAAACUCCUUUCGCUAGGGACGAAGCUUUGUGUGACGGUACCUAGAUAAGAAGCACCGGCUAACUACGUG
RNAcentral lists this ribosomal RNA (465 nucleotides) under uncultured bacterium. RNAcentral's name for it is "partial 16S ribosomal RNA". It matches the Rfam family "Bacterial small subunit ribosomal RNA", at positions 28 to 507 of the family's 1533-position model. The record is from RNAcentral.